Molecule: long non-coding RNA, 904 nt
Filed under: Scleropages formosus (Asian bonytongue)
Lineage: Eukaryota; Metazoa; Chordata; Actinopteri; Osteoglossiformes; Osteoglossidae
Description: lncRNA (ENSSFOG00015030902.1)
Source: RNAcentral
GAAUUCUGACUCCUCUAACGAAUAGCGGACUUUUCUGACCAGCCAGGAGUUUAUCGGAUAGUGUGGUGUUGUGAUCCCCAACUAUUUUUACUGCAAGAAUUUUCUUAAAAAAAAUUGUGCGCAAGGGGCCUUUUGUUGAAGAGCAGGACAUGUUCGUAGCUUGAAUGGAGACGGAAAUGCUGCUGAAGCCUGGAUAAUAGAACACUAAGUGGAUUGAAGGAGAGAGAGCGAGAGGAGGCGGUCAGGGAGUGGACACGAGGGAUUACGGAUUAAUCCGGGACAGAGCCAGUCCCAGCACUGGCCCUUCUUUUGAGAGGCAGACAGAGAGCUGUGGAGAUUAUUGCGCUCGGUUUGUCGGCAUUUAAGAGCUUUAGCGUUGUAUCAGACUUCUGUCUGCUUCUUGGAAGGAAAAAACGGACGGUAAGGGUGACUGCAUGAGCUGAAGCACAACGCCGGGAUGCGGAAGGUCAUCCGUUGAAGAAGAGGAGUAAGGGAAUACUAGGGCGGAGCAGGACCAUGGACUCCUCUGGGCCUGAUCUGGAGGGUUGGGGAGGCCACAGACAGGACCUGCAUGUCAUCAGUGACUGAAGGAAAGGUUGCAGCAGCUAAGGAUUGUACCUGGCUUGUCACCUGACCACGGAUUCCACGUACAGAAAGGGAUCACAGAAAUUCCAUCUCUGUCUUCCAUCCAAUUCCCUUUCAGAAACAGGACAUGGUCAGAAGGAUGGCGAAGUACUGGACAUAGUCCAAACACAUGCGAAAAAGGCAUUUACAAGCCAAUAAAAUCCAAUUAGCAGUUCUUUAGUUUUGAGGACGAAGAUGCUUGGGAAAAGGCGUGUCUUGAAAGAAGAAAAAAUCCACCUCCAAAGUUAAAUCACUUCAGCUCAUUUUUCACAUGCCUAAU